RNAcentral lists this ribosomal RNA (492 nucleotides) under uncultured bacterium. RNAcentral describes it as "partial 16S ribosomal RNA". It matches the Rfam family "Bacterial small subunit ribosomal RNA", at positions 29 to 507 of the family's 1533-position model. The record is from RNAcentral.
AGUGAACGCUGGCGGCAGGCCUAACACAUGCAAGUCGAACGGCACCACAGUAAGAGCUUGCUCUUACGUGUGGCGAGUGGCGGACGGGUGAGGAAUACAUCGGAUUCCCCUUUUUCGGGGGGGAUAACGUAGGGAAAUUUACGCUAACCCCACAUACGACCUACGGGUGAAAGCAGGGGAUGUUCGGACCUUGCGCGAUUGAAUGAGCCGAUGUUGGAUUAGUUAGUUGGCGGGGUAAAGGCCCACAAAGGCGACGAUCCGUAGCUGGUCUGAGAGGAUGAUCAGCCACACUGGAACUGAGACACGGCCCAGACUCCUACGGGAGGAAGCAGUGGGGAAUAUUGCACAAGGGGCGCAAGCCUGAUCCAGCCAUACCGGGUGGGUGAAGAAGGCCUUCGGGUUGUAAAGCCAUUUUGGUGGGAAAGAAGAGCAGCAGGUUAAUACCCCGCUGUACUGACGGUACCCAAAGAAUAAGCACCGGCUAACUUCGUG